Molecule: long non-coding RNA, 1094 nt
Filed under: Numida meleagris (helmeted guineafowl)
Lineage: Eukaryota; Metazoa; Chordata; Aves; Galliformes; Numididae
Description: lncRNA (ENSNMEG00000019477.1)
Source: RNAcentral
ACGAUGUCUUCUGUGAAGUUUUGAUCUAAUUCCCAUAGAGACGAAGGAAGGAUGCCGGGAAUGUUUCAAGAUAGUGCUGUGCUGAUCUAUGUGAACGUGUGGACCCAUGCUGUUGAUAGAAUUAACUGGUAUAGUUCUCCAUCUGAAAGUCAGGCUUUUUCGAAUGCAGACAUAAAGGAGGUCAGCUGAUUUGAGGGACAAGACGGAAGAAGAAAAUUGGUGACAGGGGAUGAAAGACAGUGUACUUACAAAGUUUGCUGGUGGCACCAAGCUGGAGGGCCUGCAAGGACUGUGGCAGGUAGGUUCAAGUCUCAGAGGAGUCUUCACAGAUCAGAGGGAUGUUCCAGAACUGACAAGAUGAGCUUUGGCUGAGGCCUAGAAAAGAACAGUCCACAGCAUCUAUGCCCACAAAUGUGGCAGGAGAGGCUCACAGUGUAAACAGGAAUCAUCAGUAUGUCCUACUGGGUAGAGACCAAAGGCUGUUUCUAGCUGAUCUCAUUAGUUCUGCUGACAUGAUUAGGAAGAUAGCUAUGCAAUGACACAAUUACCAUCAAAAACAUGAUGCUUAGAGCCACCAUGCGAGAGAAACUGGUGAGUUACUAGCUGCCAGAUACUGUAUCAGUCGCAAAAAACAAGCAGCUUCUCCAGAACAAAUCCCACUACCCUGAAGAUCUUGCUAUUUUAAGCUCAGGUCCUAGUCCUUGCUUAUUCUCAGUAAUGUAUACUCAGGUGAACAGCUUAACUGGAAUCACAGGGACUGUGAAGUGCUGUUGAACAUGAACAAAACUUGAUGAAUGUAGCCUGAGGUGAGGAGUUUGCUGACUAAAUAAUGGCUUAAAUUACAUAGGACACCAUGGCAUUCUUUCUAUAGUGCAUGACACUACCAGUGAGGUCACAUCCACAACUCCAGCCCUUUUUCUAGCCAAGAAUUGUCUACUUUGGACAGGUUUUUCCAAAGUUUGAAGAGCCGUGAAAAAAAAUCACCGUUCCCAUCUUACACAAGCUUUUGUGUGGAGUGCUUUUGUUGCUGGCAAAACGCAGGACGUUCAUUCCUACUCACCUGGUACAUUUUUAAGCAUGACUCAAUAUAAAAA